UCGGGCCACAUCGCAGUCGCCCGGCCUCUUCAAGGCAUAUCGCCCAAGUACUGC
This 54-nucleotide non-coding RNA is filed under the name unclassified sequences. The record is from Rfam.